GUCGGAGUGCUACUAUCUGACGAAGAUCUCAGUUGCAACGAUCAAACACCGCUCGCCUUCUUCAAUUCCAAUCAGAGCAGCUAAUCACCGAGCUCUCUAGUGUCGUUGCACUUCUCGUUGUGGUGCUUAGGACCAGUCAGUUAUCAGCGGCAACGGUUCAUAAAGCCGCUACCCUUCGCUAGCUUGGAUUGAUGACUUUUGUGUUUUUUUGUUCGCCAGAUGUCCUGAGUCUUUAUCUGUUAAUCCCGAAGUUUUGUUUCUUUUUGAGUUUGCUUGCAUCUUUUGCGUUUAACUCCGCUAGGUGGAUUUUUCUGGCAUGGUUAAUGAUUAAUUCCUAAAGAGAGUGGGGAUAGAGAAAGGCACGAGGAAAGUUGCUGAUCACGAGGAGAGGGGCAGGGCGUUGUGGGCUAUGGGUGGCUGCUUCUGGAGGUUCGCUCUCGAAUACAUUGGUGGCUUUGGCAACACAUGGUAAAUAGCCUAUCAGUGGUCCUGUCUUAAACGUCGCCAUGGCUGGCAGCUUGGGCAGUGAUUCACCGGGUGGUUCUUACAGAGCAAAACUGCAUCGGCCAAAUGUCAAUUUUCUCUCGAGACCUGUCAAGCAUGGAACAACUGGGACAGUGAUUGUUCUCACUACUCCAGAUGCCAAAUGCACUAUGCUUGCGUUUCAGGCCGCUUCAUCAACUGUUGACCAUGAUCCAUUCUAAGCUGACAUAGUCUCAAAGACAAGUGUACCUGUCAUAGAAGGUUAUUUAUUCGAACUACUUCAUACAGUUGAAACUAUCCAGAAAGCCUGCAAUGAUGCUUGCAGAAAUGGUGCUUAUUGCUGGUACUGCAUCAGUUAUAUCAUGCAUUGAUAGAUGUUAUGAUGAUUUCUGAUAGGCCUUUUGCCUUUAGUUUCUUAUGUAUGUCCCCUUCAAAUUUUAAGUAGCAAAUGCUAUUCUGCAUUCCCUUGGCAUCAAUUGUUUUUGUUGCAAGAUUGCUUGUUAUACACUUCUGAUCUGAAAGUAAAGAACUUGUCUGUUGUUUCUGUU
Phoenix dactylifera (date palm) is the source of this 1031-nucleotide non-coding RNA. The record is from RefSeq and is a predicted model, not a curated record. NCBI's taxonomy places the organism in Eukaryota, Viridiplantae, Streptophyta, Magnoliopsida, Arecales, Arecaceae.